UACGGAGGGUGCAAGCGUUAUCCGGAUUCACUGGGUUUAAAGGGUGCGUAGGCGGGCAGGUAAGUCCGUGGUGAAAUCUCUGAGCUUAACUCAGAAACUGCCAUGGAUACUAUUUGUCUUGAAUAUUGUGGAGGUGAGCGGAAUAUGUCAUGUAGCGGUGAAAUGCUUAGAUAUGACAUAGAACACCAAUUGCGAAGGCAGCUCACUACACAGUUAUUGACGCUGAGGCACGAAAGCGUGGGGAGCAAACGGG
This 253-nucleotide ribosomal RNA is filed under the name uncultured bacterium. RNAcentral describes it as "partial 16S ribosomal RNA". It matches the Rfam family "Bacterial small subunit ribosomal RNA", at positions 524 to 776 of the family's 1533-position model. The record is from RNAcentral.